AAGUACAUGCUUAAUUUGGAUCAUAAAUCCAACAUUGUCUGAUCUGGGAAGGUUAGCAGGCUUGAUUAGUACUUGGAUGGGAGAUCGCCUGGGAAUACCAGGUGCUGUAGGUU
RNAcentral lists this ribosomal RNA (113 nucleotides) under Theropithecus gelada (gelada). Lineage: Eukaryota; Metazoa; Chordata; Mammalia; Primates; Cercopithecidae. The record is from RNAcentral.